GAUGAACGCUGGCGGCGUGCUUAACACAUGCAAGUCGAACGAAGCAUUUGCGACAGAUUUUUUCGGAAUGAAGUUGCUUAUGACUGAGUGGCGGACGGGUGAGUAACGCGUGGGUAACCUGCCUUGUACUGGGGGAUAGCAGCUGGAAACGGCUGGUAAUACCGCAUAAGCGCACAAUGUUGCAUGACAUGGUGUGAAAAACUCCGGUGGUAUAAGAUGGACCCGCGUCUGAUUAGCUAGUGGGUGAGAUAACAGCCCACCAAGGCGACGAUCAGUAGCCGACCUGAGAGGGUGACCGGCCACAUUGGGACUGAGACACGGCCCAGACUCCUACGGGUGGCAGCAGUGGGGAAUAUUGCACAAUGGAGGAAACUCUGAUGCAGCGACGCCGCGUGAGUGAAGAAGUAAUUCGUUAUGUAAAGCUCUAUCAGCAGGGAAGAUAGUGACGGUACCUGACUAAGAAGCUCCGGCUAAAUACGUG
RNAcentral lists this ribosomal RNA (481 nucleotides) under uncultured bacterium. Its description in RNAcentral is "partial 16S ribosomal RNA". It matches the Rfam family "Bacterial small subunit ribosomal RNA", at positions 28 to 507 of the family's 1533-position model. The record is from RNAcentral.